This is a long non-coding RNA of Aricia agestis (brown argus), 279 nucleotides long. RefSeq lists it as uncharacterized. The record is from RefSeq and is a predicted model, not a curated record. The transcript is spliced from 2 exons. NCBI's taxonomy places the organism in Eukaryota, Metazoa, Arthropoda, Insecta, Lepidoptera, Lycaenidae.
GACGUAGGUCCGCCAUCUAGAGAUAAACGACGAUAACAUGGCGCGCCCCUCCAAAAUUCAAAACGUUUGAAUGCGUUGUCAAAACGUUUGAAGUGCGUUGUCUUGCACGGUCGGCUAGUUAUGAUUAUACCUUGGUAAUAAGUGACAUUAAGUGAAAUAUUACGAGUACCUACUGUUUGAUUGGUUGAAUACUUACUACAUACAAACUCUUUCAUAAGGAUGACACACAUUGAAACAGAAAUUUGGAGGGGCGCGCCAUGUUAUCGCAGUUUAUCUCUA